CCCUUAGAUGUCCUGGGCCGUACGCGCGCUACACUGAUGCAUGCAACGAGUUUAUAACCUUGGCCUGAAAGGUCUGGGUAAUCUUUUGAACGUGCAUCGUGAUAGGGAUAGAUUAUUGCAAUUGUUAAUCUUGAACGAGGAAUUCCUAGUAAACGCGAGUCAUCAGCUCGCAUUGAUUACGUCCCUGCCCUUUGUACACACCGCCCGUCGCACCUACCGAUUGAAUGGUUCGGUGAAGAUCUCGGACUUCGAUAUUUAUUCUUUAUUGAGUUUAUAUUGUGGGAAGUUAUCUAAACCUCAUCAUUUAGAGGAAGGUGAAGUCGUAACA
This 328-nucleotide ribosomal RNA is filed under the name uncultured eukaryote. RNAcentral describes it as "partial 18S ribosomal RNA". It matches the Rfam family "Eukaryotic small subunit ribosomal RNA", at positions 1470 to 1796 of the family's 1831-position model. The record is from RNAcentral.